Molecule: ribosomal RNA, 454 nt
Filed under: uncultured Sulfuricurvum sp.
Lineage: Bacteria; Pseudomonadati; Campylobacterota; Epsilonproteobacteria; Campylobacterales; Sulfurimonadaceae
Description: bacterial SSU rRNA
Rfam family: Bacterial small subunit ribosomal RNA
Source: RNAcentral
GUGGAGCAUGUGGUUUAAUUCGAAGAUACACGAAGAACCUUACCUGGCCUUGACAUGGUAGGAACCCUUAAGAGAUUAGGGGGUGCUAGCUUGCUAGAACCUACACACAGGUGCUGCACGGCUGUCGUCAGCUCGUGUCGUGAGAUGUUGGGUUAAGUCCCGCAACGAGCGCAACCCUCGUCCUUAGUUGCUAACAGUUCGGCUGAGCACUCUAGGGAGACUGCCUUCGCAAGGAGGAGGAAGGUGAGGACGACGUCAAGUCAUCAUGGCCCUUACGGCCAGGGCUACACACGUGCUACAAUGGGGCGUACAGAGAGCUGCGAUACCGCGAGGUGGAGCCAAUCUCUUAAAGCGUCUCUCAGUUCGGAUUGUUCUCUGCAACUCGAGAACAUGAAGCUGGAAUCACUAGUAAUCGCAGAUCAGCUAUGCUGCGGUGAAUACGUUCCCGGGUCUU